Molecule: transfer RNA, 75 nt
Filed under: Longimycelium tulufanense
Lineage: Bacteria; Bacillati; Actinomycetota; Actinomycetes; Pseudonocardiales; Pseudonocardiaceae
Description: tRNA-Trp
Rfam family: tRNA
About the family: Transfer RNA (tRNA) molecules are approximately 80 nucleotides in length. Their secondary structure includes four short double-helical elements and three loops (D, anti-codon, and T loops).
Source: RNAcentral
GGGGAGCUGGUGUAGCAGGGAGCACGGCCGGUCUCCAAAACCGGACGGAUGAGGUUCGAGUCCUCGGUUCCUCGC